RNAcentral lists this long non-coding RNA (2318 nucleotides) under Daucus carota (carrot). RNAcentral's name for it is "long non-coding RNA (DCAR_LNC006194)". Lineage: Eukaryota; Viridiplantae; Streptophyta; Magnoliopsida; Apiales; Apiaceae. The record is from RNAcentral.
UCAUUUCCAAACAAGACAGCCGCUUAAGACCAACCAAUACACAAUAUGAACCCUAGAUCUGGGAAUUUUUUCAUCUUUGUGUCUCUUUCAUAUCUAUCUUUAAUUCUCUAAACUGGUUUGUUUGCUCUUUGAUUUGGACGUUGUUAGAAUACAUCUUUAUUUCUAUGUGCCUAAAUCUCAUGUUUAAUUGAUUUUUAUUUUGCCAUACAAGCAAGCUGAGCUUGAAUCACUACCGGAGUUUUCUUUGCCGCCCAAACAUCUUCUAAUGGUAUAUACAAGUCAGCCCAUGAGACCAGACAAGUGUCUGCAUCUGAACCUUUAGUUGGUAUCAAUUUUUUGCCCAUUUCUCUAUAAUGUUGCAUCUGGUUAUUUCCCUUAGGUAUUUUCUUUAGUGGGUAUGUUUUGGAUUUUAUUACAUUGUUAGGUAGUAUACUGAUUACUACUAAUUUAUUCUAAUUUAUCUUAAUUGUACUGAUUUGUUCGCACAUCUCGAUUUUUCAGGUGAUUAGGGUUUUUACAGCUUCUUGAAAUUAAGCUUUCAAUUGGGUUUGAAAUCAAGGUAAAUGGGGUUGUAUUUUGGGAUUGCAGUUGAUGUAUUUUGGGUUCUUCAAUUUAUAUGAAUAUAUUUAUGAGCUAAUAUUUUGGGUUUGUAUUAUCUGGAGGAAUAUAAAUGGAGAGUGUGAGGAAGACUAAGUAAGAAAAAGAGGCUAGGGGAAGAGUGAUUGAGAGAAGGGGGAAAUGAGUAAGAGAGAGAUAGAGAGAUAAUGGGGAGGGGGAGUGAUUUGGUUUUACUUGAUGUGAAUCUUAAGAUUCUUGUAUAAUAAUUUAUAUGUACUUGUAUUGGAAACUCAGGGAAGACUUGAUUUUUGGUUAGUGGUUUUUUUGAUGUUGCAAUUGCCUCAUUGGAGCCUCAUAGUUCUCUGUUUGGAGAAACAGAGAAUUCUCUGUUUGGAGUCAUGAGUAUUGUUUCCCUGUUACUAAAUCUUUUUAAACCUAUUACCUCUUUUAAUCUUCUUUUGUAUCUAAACUGUUACUGGGGUUUGAUAUUAUCAAUAUGCGGUGAUUUGUGUAUCAAUUUGAAAUAUCUUAAUUGAUAAUUACUAAUACUCGUGUAAGUGAUUCUUCUCCUAGGUGUAUGUACUCUCAGAUCCUAAGUAGGUCUUUUCUCUGGAAUGCUAUCUUCACUGUUUCUUUGCUUGGCAUUGUCUUAAUUCAAACACAGAUACAACUUGUUUUGUACACACAGGAUUCAGCCUUUUUUAGCAGAGUUUCAGCUCUUUUGUUCUCUCAAUUCUAUCUCACUUCAAUAUAUUAUAAGAUUGAUAGGAAGUUCUAUUUAUAUACCAGUAGAGGAUUAUGCCAUUGCUUACAUAAUCUAACUAGUUGUUCUCAUCCAUUACAUAAGCUAUAUUUAAUACUAGCCUACUAUAUUGACUGGUGACCAACCUUGAGUUAUUUCCAUCAACUGGUGCGGUAUAUUCUCCACAAGCUUUGAACUGCAUGAAACUAGCAUAUGAGAGUCAGUGUCUAUACUUCAGUUUCAAACUAGCCCGCCUUAUUUCCAAGAAUGUAUAUGCGGUAGAGGUGCUGCUCUUAGUUGAAUUCUGCCAUCUUUAUUUAAGUCUGCCAUAUUUCAUGGGUAUAGUGAUUCUAUUUACUUCCAUUCAUAUUACUCCUUUUAUGACCCAGCUGUUUACAUUAAUGCAAAUUCUUCAAGAAUUUGAAAUUCUAACAAAGAUUGCAUGGAUUGAGGAUGAACAAUACACAUAUAAUAUAUACUAUAUGCAAGGUUAAAUAAACACAAAAUACAUACCCAGUUUAUUAGUAUCUGUCUUCUUUUUAUGUUUGUAUAUAUCCUACUUAUCAUACUCUUCAUCCUAUAUGAUCAUCCUCAAGCUCUGUUUUGUAGUUUGCAUGAAUGGUACAUAAAUUUUACUAGACUAUUGCAUUCAUUAACAUUUUCAAAAGAAAUUGACGGAAAUUUUGUAUUUCUUAUGUCAGGGCUGAUGCAUUCAACUGGAAGGUAAAUGAAUUAUAAAAGAGCGGAGGAAAUAAAGAAACCAAGAUAGAGAAUAUAGAAGAGCUAGCAGUGGAGAGCUCAAAUCAAAUUAAAGAAUCUUUGUCGUAGAUUAAUCUUCAUACCAACCAAGUUAUUGGUGGAUAUUAGAUGGUAUAUGUGGUUUGGUUGUAACACUAGUUAUUAGUAGUGCAUAAUGAUGAUUUUUGUUUACAAAUUUUUGGCUUGUUAAUUACCGUCUCUAGUCUAGUUUAAUCGAGUUAUGUAAAAUCAUUGUCUAUUAUACUUUUAGCUAAUUGGA